This 464-nucleotide ribosomal RNA is filed under the name uncultured Klebsiella sp. RNAcentral's name for it is "bacterial SSU rRNA". It matches the Rfam family "Bacterial small subunit ribosomal RNA", at positions 339 to 795 of the family's 1533-position model. The record is from RNAcentral. Lineage: Bacteria; Pseudomonadati; Pseudomonadota; Gammaproteobacteria; Enterobacterales; Enterobacteriaceae.
CUACGGGUGGCAGCCGUGGGGAAUAUUGCACAAUGGGCGCAAGCCUGAUGCAGCCAUGCCGUGUGUGUGAAGAAGGCCUUCGGGUUGUAAAGCACUUUCAGCGGGGAGGAAGGCGGUGAGGUUAAUAACCUCAUCGAUUGACGUUACCCGCAGAAGAAGCACCGGCUAACUCCGUGCCAGCAGCCGCGGUAAUACGGAGGGUGCAAGCGUUAAUCGGAAUUACUGGGCGUAAAGCGCACGCAGGCGGUCUGUCAAGUCGGAUGUGAAAUCCCCGGGCUCAACCUGGGAACUGCAUUCGAAACUGGCAGGCUAGAGUCUUGUAGAGGGGGGUAGAAUUCCAGGUGUAGCGGUGAAAUGCGUAGAGAUCUGGAGGAAUACCGGUGGCGAAGGCGGCCCCCUGGACAAAGACUGACGCUCAGGUGCGAAAGCGUGGGGAGCAAACAGGAUUAGAUACCCGGGUAGUC